GACGAACGCUGGCGGCAUGCCUAAUACAUGCAAGUCGAACGCUGAAGCACUCUGCUUGCAGAGUGCGGAUGAGUGGCGAACGGGUGAGUAACACGUGGGAAAUCUGCCUAGGAGUGGGGGAUAACAUUCGGAAACGGAUGCUAAUACCGCAUAUCUUUUUGAACCGCAUGGUUCUUAAACGAAAGACGGCUUCGGCUGUCGCUCUUAGAUGAUCCCGCGGCGUAUUAGUUAGUUGGUGGGGUAAAGGCCUACCAAGACCAUGAUACGUAGCCGACCUGAGAGGGUGAUCGGCCACACUGGGACUGAGACACGGCCCAGACUCCUACGGGAGGCAGCAGUGGGGAAUAUUGCACAAUGGGCGAAAGCCUGAUGCAGCGACGCCGCGUGAGCGAAGAAGUAUUUCGGUAUGUAAAGCUCUAUCAGCAGGGAAGAUAAUGACGGUACCUGACUAAGAAGCACCGGCUAAAUACGUGCCAGCA
This 479-nucleotide ribosomal RNA is filed under the name uncultured bacterium. RNAcentral's name for it is "bacterial SSU rRNA". It matches the Rfam family "Bacterial small subunit ribosomal RNA", at positions 28 to 513 of the family's 1533-position model. The record is from RNAcentral.